UUAGACAAUGCAUAAUUUAAUACAGGUUAAAUUUAGUUUUAUCCAUAACAUUUACUAAUAUUUCACGUUGUGCAGACAUUUUAGAAACUUUCCCCCUUCUUUGUGUACAUAGGAGUCUCCAGCCCCGAGGAAUUGACAACCCUGGAGAAAGUGUUCAAGACACUGACGGGAAUCGGUUACGCCAGACACCACCUGAAGCAGUUCAGCUCUGUGUACAACCCCAGUGAUGGAGCACAUCAGGCUACCUACCGGCCGUUCCUUAGGCAGGUGCUAGAGGAGAUCUUCCACCCAGACAGGCGUGAAUGUCCUGAUGUAGAGCACAUGUCUGGAGGACUCACUGACCUUCUCAAGACUGGCUUCAGCAUGUUCAUGAAGGUACUAGUAAUGUCCACUAGAUUGCUGAGACCUUCAGAUGUUCCUUACUUACUUUUCAACACAGACUGACAUCGGAGUAAGGCACUGAUCGCAUACACUCACACUGUUGAAUACACUGAGUCCAACCCAAGAUCUUUACCCAGCUAGUGUGUCUGGGUUACUGAGCUAUCUGAUCUGAAUAGUUUUGGGAUAUUUAAGUGAAAGACAUACAGUAUACAACAAGUUCUUGUUUUUGUAAAACUUCCCAUUCCAAAACUUUUACAUGUUGUUGCAUGCGACUAGUGACCUAAAAUAUUGUCUUAUACUUUUGGAAAAUCAUGCAUGUUAUUUAUUAAGUGUUUAUGCUUGUCCCUACUCCAGUUUGUAACGUUAGUGUGUGUAAACAUGGAUAGGCUGAAUGGAAAUCACACAGUCAGCACAAAUCUUGCACAUUUUACUCUCUCGCAUAUGUGAUGAAAAGAACAUGCACACACAGUGUUGGCAACAGAUUGAACAGAUUCUGCACUUUGAUGCUCAGUACAUUUUCCCCUCAUCUUUCACCCAAUUCAGCAGUGUUGUGGAGCAUGUUGGUGACAGGUAGUGACAGAUGGAAAGAGGGCAAAGGUCAAAAAAGGAGGGGAGAUCUUUUAGAGCAAAUAUCUCUUUUCUUCUCUCACUUUGGGUAGUUUCCAUUCAUACACGAUCAUCCCUAUUCCCUAAGGCUUUUACCACCACAGUCAGCGAUUCAGUGGGUGUAGGAGUGUAGGUCUGAAAUAUAAUGGUCAUUCGGACAACACUUUUUAAUGUAGUUUUGUGGGAAAUUUGGUUGGAAACAAAGUUACAACUAUUUGAAAGUGCCCUUCGAAAACGCCAUUUGCACCAUUUGGCGUGCACACAUGCUCACAUAGUAUUUAUUUUACAUUUAAUAGUUUUGAGUUUGUGUUUCACAAUUAUACCAGCAGGGUAUAACAAAAGGGCUAAAUUUGGUUGUCUUUUAAAUUACAUAGGAGCAGUUUCCCGGACAGGGUUUAGACUAAUCCAGGACUCUGCCUUAGUUAUAUUUGGACAUUAAAGUAGUUUUUAAAAACAUACCUUAAAAAAAUAGUGAGAUAAAACAAUGGCAUUGAUAUAUGUAAAUAUAGGUCAGGGCAAGAUGUUUUUAAAUUAAGGCAGCUCAAACAUGCAUUUUUGUCUGGGACUGCCCUGUCCGGAAAACCGCCCUAUUGUAUCCUACUUUAAUGUUUACAUGUCUAAUGCUUUUAAUAGACAGUUAGACCAUUUGGUUUUGAUAAAAGUAAAUUUGGGGUCUUGGUAGUGCAUACACUGUGUCAUGGGAAAAGGUCAAUAUUUUAAAUGUAUAGCAUAGGCCGGGAAUGCCGGUUUAGUGUACACUGUGGCUAUAAACAUUAUAAAUUACCGUAGUAUCAUACAUGAUGAUAAUGUAAAGCCUUUAAAGGAAGUUUGAAAAAAAUUUUUUAUUAAAUGUUAAUUCACACACAGACGAUGUC
Long non-coding RNA from Paramisgurnus dabryanus, 1862 nucleotides. RefSeq lists it as uncharacterized. NCBI's taxonomy places the organism in Eukaryota, Metazoa, Chordata, Actinopteri, Cypriniformes, Cobitidae. The record is from RefSeq and is a predicted model, not a curated record.